UUGGAAGUUGGAACACGCUAUCGAUGGUCUUCUAAUUGCGUGUGCGCGUGCAGAGAGAGAUUUCUCUCACCGUUUUGAUACUUACCAGAGUUCUGUACGACCCUUCAUCACUUGUCUUCUCCAAAAACGCAGAGAUAUAUUUAUGCACACAACUUUUUGUAUAGUUCUUUUUACUGAAUUCUCUUACAGGGUAGUAGAUUUAUGCCCAGCCUGGAG
RNAcentral lists this long non-coding RNA (216 nucleotides) under Olea europaea (common olive). RNAcentral describes it as "long non-coding RNA (OEUR_LNC011845)". Lineage: Eukaryota; Viridiplantae; Streptophyta; Magnoliopsida; Lamiales; Oleaceae. The record is from RNAcentral.